AGGGCAAUAUUUAAAAUUAAACAAUAUAAUUCAACAAGUUGUGCAGUUUCUGAGUGGCAGCUGGAGGAAGUGCAAGUAUUCUGGGCAAAAAAGGAAGAGGGUCUUUCCCUGAGUAUUCUCAAGCACAUGAUCAAGAAGUUGGAUGCCAGCUGCUCAGAGCAUAACCCCAAACUAAAGCUUAUACACACCGAAUGUCUGAGGGUUUGUGGCAACUGGUUAGCAGAAACCUGCUUAGAAAACCCUGCAGUCAUCAUGCAGACCUACCUAGAAAAGGCAGUGGAAGUUGCUGGAAAUUAUGACAAAGGA
Molecule: long non-coding RNA, 306 nt
Organism: Phyllostomus discolor (pale spear-nosed bat)
Lineage: Eukaryota; Metazoa; Chordata; Mammalia; Chiroptera; Phyllostomidae
Exons: 3
Source: RefSeq, a predicted model, not a curated record